UGCACAAAGCAUUACCUUUUCCUGUCAAAAGUUUGGACUCACCUGGUUUUUCUUUAUUCUCAUGACUAUUUAUGUUGUAGAUUGUCACUGAAGGCAUCAAAACUAUGAAUGAACACAUA
Sphaeramia orbicularis (orbiculate cardinalfish) is the source of this 119-nucleotide long non-coding RNA. RefSeq lists it as uncharacterized. The record is from RefSeq and is a predicted model, not a curated record. NCBI's taxonomy places the organism in Eukaryota, Metazoa, Chordata, Actinopteri, Kurtiformes, Apogonidae. The transcript has 4 exons.